CACCACCUCAAACAUGAUUACCGCAAAAGCAUCCUAAAUACUCAAGGACAUUAUUUAGGUAUCGUCAAAAUACCAAACCUGGCAAUUCUAAAUAGCUUCAAGAUAAAGUUUUAAGCAAAAAAAAAUUCAACAAACUAUUUUCAACACUAGGGCUUGCUCUUAGCUACCCAAAGAAGUAAUCAUAAAUGAUGUAAAUAAUAAUAUCCUGAAGUGGGUAGAACGACUUUCCCUGUAACCACGAAUAAUACCUACACAUCAAAAAAUGGGCUUUAUAGAUGAUUUAUCUUUUAAUUUAAAAGAAAAUCAUCGUUCAACGUAAAUGCAACACAAGGGCAGUUAGAAACGGAGUCUUGGCAGUUUUAUACUAGUUAUGAUGAAAUUGUUCAUCUUCAUCUUGAACAUAACAGAAGACACUUCUAUUGAAAGAGAAGUUUUGAGGGCAAGCGUCCUUUUAAUGUAACCAACUGGAUUGAAAAUGAGCACUUUGCUUAAAACAAAUAUGAUUCUACCAGGAGACUAACAUUGGGAUUAACGUGUCGUCAUCUGGGGGAGAAGCCUACACACGUCAUAUA
Molecule: long non-coding RNA, 572 nt
Organism: Anastrepha ludens (Mexican fruit fly)
Lineage: Eukaryota; Metazoa; Arthropoda; Insecta; Diptera; Tephritidae
Exons: 3
Source: RefSeq, a predicted model, not a curated record